RNAcentral lists this transfer RNA (60 nucleotides) under Lysmata boggessi. Its description in RNAcentral is "tRNA-Asp". Lineage: Eukaryota; Metazoa; Arthropoda; Malacostraca; Decapoda; Hippolytidae. The record is from RNAcentral.
AAAAUUAGUUAAAGAAUAACACAAGCUUGUCAAGCUUGAAUUACUUUCAAAAGUAUUUUA